This 447-nucleotide ribosomal RNA is filed under the name uncultured bacterium. RNAcentral describes it as "partial 16S ribosomal RNA". It matches the Rfam family "Bacterial small subunit ribosomal RNA", at positions 29 to 523 of the family's 1533-position model. The record is from RNAcentral.
AACGAACGCUGGCGGCAGGCUUAACACAUGCAAGUCGAACGCCCCGCAAGGGGAGUGGCAGACGGGUGAGUAACGCGUGGGAAUCUACCCAUCUCUGCGGAAUAGCUCCGGGAAACUGGAAUUAAUACCGCAUACGCCCUACGGGGGAAAGAUUUAUCGGGGAUGGAUGAGCCCGCGUUGGAUUAGCUAGUUGGUGGGGUAAAGGCCUACCAAGGCGACGAUCCAUAGCUGGUCUGAGAGGAUGAACAGCCACAUUGGGACUGAGACACGGCCCGAGCUCCUGCGGGAGGCAGCAGUGGGGAAUAUUGGACAAUGGGCGCAAGCCUGAUCCAGCCAUGCCGCGUGAGUGAUGAAGGCCUUAGGGUUGUAAAGCUCUUUCACCGGUGAAGAUAAUGACGGUAACCGGAGAAGAAGCCCCGGCUAACUUCGUGCCAGCAGCCGCAGUAA